AGAGUUUGAUCCUGGCUCAGGAUGAACGCUGGCGGCGUGCUUAACACAUGCAAGUCGAACGAAGCACUUUAUUUGAUUUCCUUCGGGACUGAUUAUUUUGUGACUGAGUGGCGGACGGGUGAGUAACGCGUGGGUAACCUGCCUUGUACAGGGGGAUAACAGUUGGAAACGGCUGCUAAUACCGCAUAAGCGCACAGCAUCGCAUGAUGCAGUGUGAAAAACUCCGGUGGUAUAAGAUGGACCCGCGUUGGAUUAGCUAGUUGGUGAGGUAACGGCCCACCAAGGCGACGAUCCAUAGCCGACCUGAGAGGGUGACCGGCCACAUUGGGACUGAGACACGGCCCAAACUCCUACGGGAGGCAGCAGUGGGGAAUAUUGCACAAUGGGCGAAAGCCUGAUGCAGCGACGCCGCGUGAGCGAAGAAGUAUUUCGGUAUGUAAAGCUCUAUCAGCAGGGAAGAUAAUGACGGUACCUGACUAAGAAGCACCGGCUAAAUACGUGCCAGCAGCCGCGGUAAUACGUAUGGUGCAAGCGUUAUCCGGAUUUACUGGGUGUAAAGGGAGCGCAGGCGGUGCGGCAAGUCUGAUGUGAAAGCCCGGGGCUCAACCCCGGUACUGCAUUGGAAACUGUCGUACUAGAGUGUCGGAGGGGUAAGCGGAAUUCCUAGUGUAGCGGUGAAAUGCGUAGAUAUUAGGAGGAACACCAGUGGCGAAGGCGGCUUACUGGACGAUAACUGACGCUGAGGCUCGAAAGCGUGGGGAGCAAACAGGAUUAGAUACCCUGGUAGUCCACGCCGUAAACGCAGAAAUAAUAGGUGUUUGGGAAGCAUUGCUUUUUCGGUCCCGUCGCAAACGCACUAAGAAUUCCACCCGGGGAAGUACGUUCGCAAGAAAGAAACUCAAAGGAAUUGACGGGGACCCGCACACGCGGUGGAGCAUGUGGUUUAAUUCGAAGCAACGCGAAGAACCUUACCAAGUCUUGACAUCCUUCUGACCGGUACUUAACCGUACCUUCUCUUCGGAGCAGGAGUGACAGGUGGUGCAUGGUUGUCGUCAGCUCGUGUCGUGAGAUGUUGGGUUAAGUCCCGCAACGAGCGCAACCCUUAUCUUUAGUAGCCAGCGGUUCGGCCGGGCACUCUAGAGAGACUGCCAGGGAUAACCUGGAGGAAGGCGGGGAGGACGUCAAAUCAUCAUGCCCCCUAUGACUUGGGCUACACACGUGCUACAAUGGCGUAAACAAAGGGAAGCAAAGCUGUGAAGCCGAGCAAAUCUCAAAAAUAACGUCUCAGUUCGGACUGUAGUCUGCAACCCGACUACACGAAGCUGGAAUCGCUAGUAAUCGCAGAUCAGAAUGCUGCGGUGAAUA
Molecule: ribosomal RNA, 1365 nt
Filed under: uncultured bacterium
Lineage: Bacteria
Description: 16S ribosomal RNA
Rfam family: Bacterial small subunit ribosomal RNA
Source: RNAcentral